This 380-nucleotide ribosomal RNA is filed under the name uncultured eukaryote. RNAcentral describes it as "SSU rRNA". It matches the Rfam family "Eukaryotic small subunit ribosomal RNA", at positions 587 to 972 of the family's 1831-position model. The record is from RNAcentral.
AGCUCCAAUAGCGUAUAUUAAAGUUGUUGCGGUUAAAAGCUCGUAGUUGGAUUUCUGCUGAAGACAACCGGUCUGCCCUCUGGGUGAGCAUCUGGUUUGGAUUCGGCAUCAUCUUAGAGAACGUAUCUGCACUUGACUGUGUGGUGCGGUAUCUUAGACUUUUACUUUGAGGAAAUCAGAGUGCUUCAAGCAGGCGAAUGCCUUGGAUACAUUAGCAUGGAAUAAUAAGAUAGGACCUCGGUUCUAUUUUGUUGGUUUCUAGAACUGAGGUAAUGAUUAAUAGGGAUAGUUGGGGGCAUUUGUAUUAACGCGUCAGAGGUGGAAUUCUUGGAUUGCGUUACGACAAACUACUGCGAAAGCAUUUGCCAAGGAUGUUUUCA